GGCCUAACACAUGCAAGUCGAACGAUACCUUCCAGCUUGCUGGAGGGAAAAGUGGCGCACGGGUGCGUAACGCGUAUGCAACCUACCUUAAUCUGGGGGAUAGCCCGGAGAAAUCCGGAUUAAUACCGCAUAAAGUCACAGGAUGGCAUUAUCCAAUGAUCAAACAUUUAUGGGAUUGAGAUGGGCAUGCGUGUCAUUAGCUAGUUGGCGGGGUAACGGCCCACCAAGGCGACGAUGACUAGGGGAUCUGAGAGGAUGGCCCCCCACACUGGUACUGAGACACGGACCAGACUCCUACGGGAGGCAGCAGUAAGGAAUAUUGGUCAAUGGAGGCAACUCUGAACCAGCCAUGCCGCGUGCAGGAAGACUGCCCUAUGGGUUGUAAACUGCUUUUAUCCGGGAAUAAACCUAUCUACGUGUAGAUAGCUGAAUGUACCGGAAGAAUAAGGAUCAGCUAACUCCGUGCCAGCAGCCGCGGUAAUACGGAGGAUCCAAGCGUUAUCCGGAUUUAUUGGGUUUAAAGGGUGCGUAGGCGGCCUGUUAAGUCAGGGGUGAAAGACGGUAGCUCAACUAUCGCAGUGCCCUUGAUACUGAUGGGCUUGAAUGGACUAGAGGUAGGCGGAAUGAGACAAGUAGCGGUGAAAUGCAUAGAUAUGUCUCAGAACACCGAUUGCGAAGGCAGCUUACUAUGGUCCUAUUGACGCUGAGGCACGAAAGCGUGGGGAUCAAACAGGAUUAGAUACCCUGGUAGUCCACGCCCUAAACGAUGAACACUCGCUGUUGGCGAUACACAGUCAGCGGCUAAGCGAAAGCGUUAAGUGUUCCACCUGGGGGAGUACGGUCGCAAGAUUGAAACUCAAAGGAAAUUGACGGGGGCCCGCACAAGC
RNAcentral lists this ribosomal RNA (887 nucleotides) under uncultured Pedobacter sp. RNAcentral describes it as "bacterial SSU rRNA". It matches the Rfam family "Bacterial small subunit ribosomal RNA", at positions 45 to 930 of the family's 1533-position model. The record is from RNAcentral. Lineage: Bacteria; Pseudomonadati; Bacteroidota; Sphingobacteriia; Sphingobacteriales; Sphingobacteriaceae.